UAAGCGGAGGAAAAGAAACUAACAAGGAUUCCCCUAGUAACUGCGAGUGAAGCGGGAAAAGCUCAAAUUUAAAAUCUGGUGGUCUUUGGCCAUNCGAGUUGUAAUUUAGAGAAGCGUCUUCCGCGCUGGACCGUGCACAAGUCUCCUGGAAUGGAGCGUCAUAGAGGGUGAGAAUCCCGUCUUUGGCAUGGACACACCAGGGCUUUUGUGAUGCGCUCUCGAAGAGUCGAGUUGUUUGGGAAUGCAGCUCAAAAUGGGUGGUGAACUCCAUCUAAAGCUAAAUAUUGGCGAGAGACCGAUAGCGAACAAGUACCGUGAGGGAAAGAUGAAAAGCACUUUGGUAAGAGAGUGAAACAGUACGUGAAAUUGUUGAAAGGGAAACGCUUGAAGUCAGUCGCGUCGACCGAGACUCAGCCUCGCCUUGGCUUGGUGUACUUCUCGGCUGACGGGUCAGUGUCAAUUUUGGGCCUCGGAUAAUGACAAGGGAAAGGUGGCACCUUUAUAGGUGUGUUAUAGUCUCCUGUCGGAUGCGAGGGUCGGGAUUGAGGAACUCAGCACGCGCCUUUUGGUGUCGGGGCUUCGGCCUACGCUACGUGCUUAGGAUGCUGGCAUAAUGGCUUUAAACGACC
This 629-nucleotide ribosomal RNA is filed under the name uncultured Russulaceae. Its description in RNAcentral is "LSU rRNA". It matches the Rfam family "Eukaryotic large subunit ribosomal RNA", at positions 47 to 649 of the family's 3401-position model. Lineage: Eukaryota; Fungi; Basidiomycota; Agaricomycetes; Russulales; Russulaceae. The record is from RNAcentral.